GACGAACGCUGGCGGCGUGCCUAAUACAUGCAAGUCGAGCGAAGUUUUUCUGGUGCUUGCACCGGAAAAACUUAGCGGCGAACGGGUGAGUAACACGUAAAGAACCUGCCUCAUAGACUGGGACAACUAUUGGAAACGAUAGCUAAUACCGGAUAACAGCAUUAACUGCAUGGUUGAUGUUUAAAAGUUGGUUUUGCUAACACUAUGAGAUGGCUUUGCGGUGCAUUAGCUAGUUGGUGGGGUAAAGGCCUACCAAGGCGACGAUGCAUAGCCGACCUGAGAGGGUGAUCGGCCACACUGGGACUGAGACACGGCCCAGACUCCUACGGGAGGCAGCAGUAGGGAAUCUUCCGCAAUGGGCGAAAGCCUGACGGAGCAACGCCGCGUGAGUGAAGAAGGAUUUCGGUUCGUAAAGCUCUGUUGUUAGGGAAGAAUGAUUGUGUAGUAACCAUACACAGCCCG
RNAcentral lists this ribosomal RNA (462 nucleotides) under Gemella haemolysans. RNAcentral's name for it is "bacterial SSU rRNA". It matches the Rfam family "Bacterial small subunit ribosomal RNA", at positions 28 to 475 of the family's 1533-position model. Lineage: Bacteria; Bacillati; Bacillota; Bacilli; Caryophanales; Gemellaceae. The record is from RNAcentral.